AGGAGUGUAGCUCAGCUGGAAGAGCAGCGGUCUCCAAAACCGCAGGUCGGGGGUUCGAAUCCCUCCACUCCUGCCA
RNAcentral lists this transfer RNA (76 nucleotides) under Chloroflexota bacterium. RNAcentral describes it as "Chloroflexi bacterium tRNA-Trp". It matches the Rfam family "tRNA". From Rfam's summary of the family: Transfer RNA (tRNA) molecules are approximately 80 nucleotides in length. Their secondary structure includes four short double-helical elements and three loops (D, anti-codon, and T loops). Lineage: Bacteria; Bacillati; Chloroflexota. RNAcentral also lists the same sequence under 1 other name. The record is from RNAcentral.